This 253-nucleotide ribosomal RNA is filed under the name uncultured bacterium. Its description in RNAcentral is "partial 16S ribosomal RNA". It matches the Rfam family "Bacterial small subunit ribosomal RNA", at positions 524 to 776 of the family's 1533-position model. The record is from RNAcentral.
UACGAAGGGUGCAAGCGUUACUCGGAAUUACUGGGCGUAAAGCGUGCGUAGGUGGUGAGUUAAGUCUGUCGUGAAAGCCCCGGGCUCAACCUGGGAAUGGCGAUGGAUACUGGCUCGCUAGAGCGCGGUAGAGGAGAGUGGAAUUCCCGGUGUAGCAGUGAAAUGCGUAGAUAUCUGGAGGAACACCGGUGGCGAAGGCGGCAUCCUGGACCGGCAUUGACGCUGAGGAGCGAAAGCCAGGGGAGCAAACGGG